ACCUCCUUGGAGCAGAAAAACACGGUCCUGGAGAAGGAAAAGACCGCUCUGGUGAAGAAAAGCACCGACCUGGAACAGAAAAACAUGCCCUGGAGAAUAAAAGUACCUCCUUGGAGCAGAAAAACACGGUCCUGGAAAAGGAAAAGACCGCUCUGGAGAAGAAAAGCAACGACCUUGA
Long non-coding RNA from Poecilia latipinna (sailfin molly), 178 nucleotides. RefSeq lists it as uncharacterized. The record is from RefSeq and is a predicted model, not a curated record. The transcript is spliced from 2 exons. NCBI's taxonomy places the organism in Eukaryota, Metazoa, Chordata, Actinopteri, Cyprinodontiformes, Poeciliidae.